This 492-nucleotide ribosomal RNA is filed under the name uncultured bacterium. RNAcentral's name for it is "partial 16S ribosomal RNA". It matches the Rfam family "Bacterial small subunit ribosomal RNA", at positions 28 to 507 of the family's 1533-position model. The record is from RNAcentral.
GAUGAACGCUGGCGGUAUGCCUAACACAUGCAAGUCGAACGACAGCACAGUAAGCGCUCGCUCUUACGGGUAGCGGGGGACGGGCGAGUAACGCGUAGAUCGGCAUCUACUUAGUCGGGGGGGACAACGGGGGACAACUGACAAUAAUGCCUCAUACCAUCAACGGGUGGAAUCAAGGGUGCUUGAGGCCUUUGCCGAUUGAAUGAGCGGAUGUCGGAUUAGCUAGUUGGCGGGGUAAAGGCCCACCAAGGCGACGAUCCGUAGCUGGUCUGAGAGGAUGAUCGGCCACACUGGAACUGAGACACGGUCCAGACUCCUACGGGAGGCAGCAGUGGGGAAUAUUGGACAAUGGGCGAAAGCCUGAUGCAGCCAUACCGCGUGGGUGAAGAAGGUCUUCGGGUUGUAAAGCCCUUUUGUUGGGAAAGAAAAGCAGCAGGUUAAUACCCCGCUGUUCUGACGGUACCCAAAGAAUAAGCACCGGCUAACUUCGUG